Molecule: ribosomal RNA, 400 nt
Filed under: uncultured bacterium
Lineage: Bacteria
Description: bacterial SSU rRNA
Rfam family: Bacterial small subunit ribosomal RNA
Source: RNAcentral
UCGCGAAUUUUUCUCAAUGGGCGCAAGCCUGAAGAAGCCAUGCCGCGUGCGGGACGAAGGCCCUCUGGGUUGUAAACCGCUGUCAGGGGAGGGGAAACGUGCGGUGUUAACAGCGCCGCAUCUGACUGCUCUCCAAAGGAAGCCCCGGCAAAACAUGUGCCAGCAGCCGCGGUAAUACAUGUGGGGCGAGCGUUGUUCGGAAUCACUGGGCAUAAAGGGUGCGUAGGCGGUGUCGUACGUCUGGGGUGAAAUCCUUCGGCCCAACCGGAGGUCUGCCUUGGAUACGGCGAUGCUUGAGUGCGUGAGGGGUAACCGGAACGCGUGGUGUAGCGGUGAAAUGCGUAGAUAUCACGCGGAAGGCCAACGGCGAAGGCAGGUUACUGGCGCGCAACUGACGCUG